GUAAAUGCAAAGAACGAAGAGAGUAACAUUUCAGAAACUAUCAGAGAGGAAUUGUCAUCGGCUGAAAGCAAAUCCAAGUGAAAGAAAUGCGAAGUGCAUUCGGGAGCAGAUACGGUGAACAGUGAAGUAGCCGUGUACGGUCGCACACGUUACGUGUUUAGAGUGAAGGGGUUACCCCUUUAUGAGAGUGGAAUCGCGGAUAUAACUUCGUCUCUUAG
This 218-nucleotide non-coding RNA is filed under the name Lachnospiraceae bacterium. RNAcentral's name for it is "T-box sequence". It matches the Rfam family "T-box leader". Rfam says of the family: Uncharged tRNA acts as the effector for transcription antitermination of genes in the T-box leader family. T-boxes are found upstream of many aminoacyl-tRNA synthetase genes and some amino acid biosynthetic genes usually in Gram-positive bacteria. The anticodon of a specific tRNA base pairs to a specifier sequence within the T-box motif, and the NCCA acceptor tail of the tRNA base pairs to a conserved bulge in the T-box antiterminator hairpin. Lineage: Bacteria; Bacillati; Bacillota; Clostridia; Lachnospirales; Lachnospiraceae. The record is from RNAcentral.